CCUACGGGAGGCAGCAGUGAGGAAUAUUGGUCAAUGGACGAGAGUCUGAACCAGCCAAGUAGCGUGAAGGAUGAAUGCCCUAUGGGUUGUAAACUUCUUUUAUAUGGGAAUAAAAUGUUCCACGUGUGGGAUUUUGUAUGUACCAUAUGAAUAAGGAUCGGCUAACUCCGUGCCAGCAGCCGCGGUAAUACGGAGGAUGCGAGCGUUAUCCGGAUUUAUUGGGUUUAAAGGGAGCGUAGGUGGAUUGUUAAGUCAGUUGGGAAAGUUUGCGGCUCAACCGUAAAAUUGCAGUUGAAACUGGCAGUCUUGAGUACAGUAGAGGUGGGCGGAAUGCGUGGUGUAGCGGUGAAAUGCUUAGAUAUCACGAAGAACUCCGAUUGCGAAGGCAGCUCACUGGACUGCAACUGACACUGAGGCACGAAAGUGUGGGUAUCAAACAGGAUUAGAUACCCGGGUAGUC
This 460-nucleotide ribosomal RNA is filed under the name uncultured bacterium. Its description in RNAcentral is "partial 16S ribosomal RNA". It matches the Rfam family "Bacterial small subunit ribosomal RNA", at positions 338 to 795 of the family's 1533-position model. The record is from RNAcentral.